GUCCCUUGCAAGCGUGAACGGUGCUAGAGGAAGGUAACCCAGAAGGUAAAGUGAGACUCUAAACAGCACGGAGAGAUUAUGAAGCUCCUCUCUGGGCCUGGCUGGAGUCACAGCU
RNAcentral lists this small nucleolar RNA (115 nucleotides) under Fukomys damarensis (Damara mole-rat). Its description in RNAcentral is "Small nucleolar RNA SNORA26 (ENSFDAG00000000872.1)". The record is from RNAcentral. Lineage: Eukaryota; Metazoa; Chordata; Mammalia; Rodentia; Bathyergidae.